GAGCUAGAAAGCCCCGAAAGGAGGGAUGGG
This 30-nucleotide non-coding RNA is filed under the name Rattus norvegicus (Norway rat). The record is from RNAcentral. Lineage: Eukaryota; Metazoa; Chordata; Mammalia; Rodentia; Muridae.